This 273-nucleotide unclassified non-coding RNA is filed under the name Dichomitus squalens. Its description in RNAcentral is "partial internal transcribed spacer region". The stretch from base 1 to 46 matches the Rfam family "Eukaryotic small subunit ribosomal RNA", at positions 1786 to 1831 of the family's 1831-position model. The record is from RNAcentral. Lineage: Eukaryota; Fungi; Basidiomycota; Agaricomycetes; Polyporales; Polyporaceae.
AAGUCGUAACAAGGUUUCCGUAGGUGAACCUGCGGAAGGAUCAUUAUCGAGUUUUGACUGGGUUGUAGCUGGCCUUCCGAGGCAUGUGCACGCCCUGCUCAUCCACUCUACACCUGUGCACUUACUGUGGGUUUCAGAUGCCGUUAGCGGGCCUUCGCGGGCUUGUGAAAGCGUCUGGGCCUGCGUUUAUUACAAACUCUUAUCAGUAUCAGAAUGUGUAUCGCGAUGUAACGCAUCUAUAUACAACUUUCAGCAACGGAUCUCUUGGCUCUC